Apodemus sylvaticus (European woodmouse) is the source of this 2642-nucleotide long non-coding RNA. RefSeq lists it as uncharacterized. The transcript is spliced from 4 exons. The record is from RefSeq and is a predicted model, not a curated record. NCBI's taxonomy places the organism in Eukaryota, Metazoa, Chordata, Mammalia, Rodentia, Muridae.
GCCUGCCAGACCUGAUGAGAAGCUGCCUCAGACGGAAUUUGUCUUUGUUCUGCAGAGGAGCAGUGGUUGGUGUCUGAGCAGUUGGACUCCCUGAUUUCUCAAAGACUUGGACUUCCAGCCUGCUUGAUUGUGACAAAGUCUAGAAGCUCUAACAGCCCCCAUGACCAUGCUGCAAUUGAGAAAGGAGAAUUUGGGAUGCCUAACAGAUCUUGAGAUGAGGGUGACAAUCUAGAGUUUGGAAUGUGCCCUGUCAGCUGCUGCUCUGGCCACUAUGCCUGCCUGCUGUUACACCUUCCUACUAAGACAGUGAUAUAGUCAUCCCUAUGGAACCAGUAGCCCAGCAUAAGCCCUUCCUUCCAUAAGUUGCCAUGGUAACGGUGCUUCAUCACAUCAACAGAAAAGCACUUCACAGAAAAGUAGAGAUUUUAGUGCUAAAAUAUCAAGAUCCAGAAUCAAGGCAAUGACUAUCAAAAUGGCCGUGGCAACCCACUCUGAUGCGGUUCCACACAGCUCAUCUGAAGAUAAGGUUUGGCAGUGGUUACAAUAGAUAUAUUUAAAACCCCGUUGGAUCCUUUUACUGUGACUUUCUGCUUGAUAAAGAUGAAGAAGUGAAGUGCCUGGGUGAUGCUGACCUUUAAAUCCAUUCAGCGGACGGUUUGGCAGGAAGAAAUCCAGUAACGACCCCUUAGGUCACCAAAGCACUUUUUCAAAGAAGUGUAUAAUCCCAGUUUGGAAAAAGCUUUUAUAAACCUGUAUCUAUUUCUUCAGGUGGGCUAUAAACUAUUCCUGAAUGAUGGGAUUUGGUUUCUAGCCUAUGUAGAGCUCCAGAUGAAGCAUAUAGAAGGUUUUUUUCAUUCUUCCUUCCUUCCUUCCUUCCUUCCUUCCUUCCUUCCUUCCUUCCUUAAUUCCUUAAUUCCUUUCUUUCUUCCUUAUUGAUCACUCUUCCUUUUCUUCUCUUUCUUUUAAAGGCAUGGACAUAAGAGUUUUCCUUUCAUCUACUUUACAUGAUGACAACCUGAGAUUAACUCAUUAAGUACACAUUAACACAUAAAGUAUAAAGAUACGAGACCAUUAUAGAAGCAACAAUUAUACAACUAGCUAUAGCAAAUGUAAUAUGAGGUUAGUAAUAAUUUAGUAAAUUACAAUGUAAGGCUAUGUUAACUAUUGCUGAUACUUCACACUUUUAUUCUCAUUUUCCUAGUUUACUAGUAUCUUUUUUAUUUUAUUUUCAAAUACCUCGUGAAGGUAGAACCCUUAGACACCAGGGUUCUUGAUUAUUUCCUGCACAUGGGCAAGGGUUAAUAAUCAAAACGCUAAAUACAAAAAACAUAAGCAAAAUGGCCUUUGUUGUUGCUGUUCAUUGUUUUGUUUUUGAAAAAUAAAAAUCAUGAUAUUUGGGCUAUAUAUAAUAGUGAGAAAUGCUUUUCUGAAUCAAAGGUUUUGAGUAAGACAGUCCCAGGAGAGGGACAGUAAUUAGACUAAUAGUUUGAUAGUGCCCAAUAAGAAAACUGUUGCAAGAUAUUUCCUAUUCAUUCACAUUGAGGCAGUGAGAGGCCAGUGAUUGGAGGGGAGAGAAGAGGGGGAGGAGCUAGGUGGAGAGAGGGGGGCAGAGGACCCCAUGAGCAGAACAGGGAGAGAUGUGGAUAUCCAGAUGGUUUCAGAUAUAUUCUGGUGUUUUGGAGAGGUUAGAAAUAUUGGUAUAAGACUUUAUCAUUAUAAAUUGGCAUUAUGAAAUUGGGAGUUUCAUAUACAUAAAUACAUUUGGUUAACUAUUCAAGCUUAAGAGUCAUGCUUUACUGGAUACUUGGAAUGAGUAGGUGCUGGGCAGGAGCACGGGACUCCCACCAUUUACAGAGUCUAUGGCAGAGAGGAAACACAGCUGGGACGCUGUGAGAGCUGAGAUUGGCUCAGUGGAGACAGUGAGAGCCGCCCUGCGCAGGACCCUCUAGGUCUUGGUGCAGAGGUGUGGUAGGGUGGUACCAUUUUUUAAAAUAUUUCCCGCUACAGAAUGCUUACUCAUUUUUCAAUUUUUCUAAAGUAGUCUGCCAACGGGAGGUUACAUUUAAUUUUUUGAAGUGAUAUAAGCUGUUAAUACAUCUAAUAAUUGAAUGAGAAAUAAUUUUGAAGUUGAGUGUUCAUAGUUUCACAUAUAAUUUAUCAAUUUCUUUCUCAAACAUGUUAUUCCUUUUUUUUGAAACAGGGUUACUCUGUAUAGCCCUGGCUGUCCUGAAACUCAUUCUGUAGACCAGGCUGGCCUCAAACUCAAAAAUUCAUCUGUCUCUGCCUCCCAGAGUGCUGGGAUUACAGGCAUGCGCCACCACCACCCGGCUGAACAUGUUAUUCUUAAAUGAUGUGGAACAUUGUUGAAGUCAGAGUUUUUGCGUUCUUUCUCUCUACUGAAAACACCUUUCCAAACAUUUAUUAGUACAGGUAGUAAAUAGCUCACCUGAAUUUCAAAGGAGUUACAGCUCAGCAUAAUCCAGAGAUUAUGUUUAAAGAUGGUGAAGUAAAAGCACCUACAACUGCUUCUUUUUUUUCCAGAAAGAAAACAUUUGCAGUUAAAAAAAAUCCAUCUUAGGUGAAAUCAGAAAAUGGCUAUCAAUAAAAAAUAGAACUAGGAAAAUAUGUUCUUAAAAACAGUA